UACGAAGGGUGCUAGCGUUGUUCGGAAUCACUGGGCGUAAAGCGCGCGUAGGCUGUUUUGCAAGUCAGGGGUGAAAUCCUGGGGCUCAACCCCAGAACUGCCUUUGAAACUGCAAGACUUGAGUGUCGGAGGGGAUAGCGGAAUUGCUAAUGUAGAGGUGAAAUUCGUAGAUAUUAGCAGGAACACCGGUGGCGAAGGCGGCUAUCUGGACGACAACUGACGCUGAGGCGCGAAAGCGUGGGGAUCAAACAGG
This 253-nucleotide ribosomal RNA is filed under the name uncultured bacterium. Its description in RNAcentral is "partial 16S ribosomal RNA". It matches the Rfam family "Bacterial small subunit ribosomal RNA", at positions 524 to 776 of the family's 1533-position model. The record is from RNAcentral.